RNAcentral lists this ribosomal RNA (207 nucleotides) under uncultured bacterium. RNAcentral's name for it is "partial 16S ribosomal RNA". It matches the Rfam family "Bacterial small subunit ribosomal RNA", at positions 568 to 774 of the family's 1533-position model. The record is from RNAcentral.
CGCGCAGGCGGUCGUUCAAGUCGAGUGUGAAAGCCCCCGGCUCAACUGGGGAGGGUCACUUGAUACUGAUCGACUCGAAGGCAGGAGAGGGAAGCGGAAUUCCCGGUGUAGUGGUGAAAUGCGUAGAUAUCGGGAGGAACACCAGUGGCGAAGGCGGCUUCCUGGCCUGUUCUUGACGCUGAGGCGCGAAAGCUAGGGGAGCAAACG